AUUGAACGCUGGCGGCAGGCUUAACACAUGCAAGUCGAACGAGGUGAUGGUGCUUGCACUAUCACUUAGCGGCGGACGGGUGAGUAAUGCUUAGGAAUCUGCCGAUUAGUGGGGGACAACGUCUCCAACGGGAUGCUAAUACCUCAUACGUCCUACGGGAGAAAGCAGGGGGUCACUUGUGCCCUGUCGAUGAUAGAUGAGCGUAAGUCGGAUUAGCGAGUUGGUGAGGGAAAGGCCUACCAAGGCGACGAUGUGUAGCGGGUCUGAGAGGAUGAUCCGCCACACUGGGACUGAGACACCGCCCAGACUCCUACGGGAGGCAGCAGUGGGGAAUAGUGGACAAUGGGGGGAACCCUUAUCCAGCCAUGCCGCGUGUGUGAAGAAGGCCUUAUGGUUGUAAAGCACUUUAAGCGAGGAGGAGGCUCUUUUGGUUAAUACCCAAGAUGAGUGGACGUUACUCGCAGAAUAAGCACCGGCUAACUCUGUGCCAGCCGCCGCCGUAA
This 503-nucleotide ribosomal RNA is filed under the name uncultured bacterium. RNAcentral describes it as "partial 16S ribosomal RNA". It matches the Rfam family "Bacterial small subunit ribosomal RNA", at positions 30 to 523 of the family's 1533-position model. The record is from RNAcentral.